Molecule: ribosomal RNA, 673 nt
Filed under: uncultured Lachnospiraceae bacterium
Lineage: Bacteria; Bacillati; Bacillota; Clostridia; Lachnospirales; Lachnospiraceae
Description: bacterial SSU rRNA
Rfam family: Bacterial small subunit ribosomal RNA
Source: RNAcentral
CGAACGAAGCACCUUGAUUUGAUUCUUCGGAUGAAGAUCUUGGUGACUGAGUGGCGGACGGGUGAGUAACGCGUGGGUAACCUGCCUCAUACAGGGGGAUAACAGUUAGAAAUGACUGCUAAUACCGCAUAAGACCACAGCACCGCAUGGUGCAGGGGUAAAAACUCCGGUGGUAUGAGAUGGACCCGCGUCUGAUUAGGUAGUUGGUGGGGUAACGGCCUACCAAGCCGACGAUCAGUAGCCGACCUGAGAGGGUGACCGGCCACAUUGGGACUGAGACACGGCCCAAACUCCUACGGGAGGCAGCAGUGGGGAAUAUUGCACAAUGGGGGAAACCCUGAUGCAGCGACGCCGCGUGAGCGAUGAAGUAUUUCGGUAUGUAAAGCUCUAUCAGCAGGGAAGAAAAUGACGGUACCUGACUAAGAAGCACCGGCUAAAUACGUGCCAGCAGCCGCGGUAAUACGUAUGGUGCAAGCGUUAUCCGGAUUUACUGGGUGUAAAGGGAGCGUAGACGGAGUGGCAAGUCUGAUGUGAAAACCCGGGGCUCAACCCCGGGACUGCAUUGGAAACUGUCAAUCUAGAGUACCGGAGAGGUAAGCGGAAUUCCUAGUGUAGCGGUGAAAUGCGUAGAUAUUAGGAGGAACACCAGUGGCGAAGGCGGCUUACUGGACGG